CCCCCGGCCGUCUCCAUCCCAGAUUCCGAGAGCGCUCCACAGGCCAGGUCCCAUCGCGCUGCGGCACCCCCCGGCCCGCGCCGCCUCUCCCAUCCCGCCCGGUCGCCUCGCCGCCGCUGCCGAGAUGGGGUUCGUGUCCUUCGUCGGGAGGGUGCUUUUCGUCGCCGCCUUCCUCCUCUCCGCUUACCAGGAGUACGCGCCCCUCCCCUUUCCUUCACCUGUCUUCUCAUUCUCAUUGUCGUCGUGCCUGCUCGCUGUGUCGUUUCGAGUCCGGUUUCGGUAGAUCUGGCGCGGCGCCCGCGAAAUCCGAGUGGGAAUGGGCUCUGGGAGGACCAAAGUGCGUGGAUCUCGCGGUGGAUAGUUUGAUUUGUGGGGUCAGGGGGUGCGGAUCUGCUCAUGUUUUUUUAACCGCUUGGUACACGAAACGUCGUAAUUUUGGUCGUAGGCUUUUUUUCGAUCUGCAUCUGGGCAGUUGAAUUUCCGCAUUGAUCUGGAGAUUUGGAGGCAGCUGAAGUAGAACAUCUUGUAUGUACUUGUUUUAAGUUUCUUACUGCCACUUGUACUCUGAUCUGGGGUUCGGAUCUUCUACUCAGCUGGAUUUGUGAGUUAUACGUGCCAUAUAAAGUAUUGCAACUGCUGCCGAAUCAGCUUACAUGUCAUCCCACUAGUCAAAAUUCAAAUUAGGCCUAGUCAGCCUUCGGAGAUUUAGUUUUUAAGGUUCAUGCAUGGAUUUGAAUCCGCAUUGAGUUUAGCUGCUAGUUAGGAAGUAAGCGUAACAUAAUUCAACACCUCAUCUUGGUAGUGGGAUGCCAACACGCAUGCAGCACAGCAAUUAUGAAUCACGGGCAAUUGUCAUGGAACUUCCUCAAUAGGAGUGAAAUACCACUAGAUCAAACUGGUCCACUGCCAAAUCUUUCUUGGCUAAUAAAAAAAUACCUCUAUUGGCUUACAGCAGUAACAACAGGGUUGUCAAGGUAUGAUGUGGGAAAGAGCAGUUUGGAUUAGGUCUCCCCCAAUUGGAGGUGAUAAAAGAGCUCAAGUACAAUCCUUAAGUUAUCACUGGCGAGUUGUUGAUUUCAGUUGCUAUCAAUGAUUAUGAUGCCUCCUUGGGAGAUUAGAGAAGUAACAAAACCCUAGAUGUUCAUUUUGCUGCUUCUGUUUGAGUGGAGUUUGUGAGCAGCAAAAACACACGCAGCAGACUGAUCAAAAUCACAAAAGCACUGCUGUUCCGGACUAUUUUCUUCCCGCUUUCCUUUUUUUUUUGGCAUAUGUGUUGUGAACUUCUAUUGCAGCAGUUGCAACUAGGCGAAUGCCUUUUUUUUGUUGCUUCCGUGCUUUUUCAAGGAAGCAUCAUGAUCAUUAACUGCAACAGAAAUCAUUGUCUCACAAUUGUAUCUGUGCUUGGGCUCUUUGUCAUCUGCAUGUGAAGGAUAUAACACAAGAAUGCUUCAACACUCCUGCCUAAUGUGAUUGUUGCCUAAUCAAGUCAUACUGCUACACAGUGUUGCCCACUUAAGGCUGAGUUUGACAAGUUUGGACUAGUGCCUAGUAGGAAAAAAUCUUGACUAAAGAAGAUCCAUUUGACGGAUUAGCUUGUUAGGGGAGUUCGUGAGUUGUGACAUUGUUUUUGUUCGUAUUAGGAUCUAUAUUUUGUUCACCUUUCAGUAUUAUUUCCAAUUGAGGUGUCCAUAACCAGUUCACUGGAAGCACACCUCAUAUGUAAUAUAAUUAUAAACUUCCUUUGGCUGUCUAAUUCUAGCUCACAUGCCGAAGGAUUCAGGAUAGCUACUGUUCUGUUACUUGACCAUAUGUUAGAUGACUUAAUAGUCUUGGUACUUCAUACCUGGUUUUACCCUCAUUCAUUAAAGUGUACUUUUGUGGGUGCAGGUUUAAUGAAUUUGGAACUGAUGGUGGGCCAGCGGCAAAGGCCCUUCAGCCCAAGUUCAAUGUGUUCGUAAAAAAUAUCUCUUCGCAUCUUGGAGUAGCUGUGCCUCAUAUUGAGGUGAUAAUUUAUUUUCAUGGCAUCUUUCUUGUUGAUGUUGUUGAUUGUUGUUUUGUGUAGCUUACAUUUUUUCUUUUACCUACCCAGUUGAAGCAUGUUAUUGCUGCUACAAUCGCUCUUAAGGGCCUUGGAGGUCUCCUUUUUAUCUUGAGCAGCUCUCUCGGUGCUUACCUCCUGGUAUGUGCUCUUUGCUCUGUUUGCUUUGCUGUCAUCUAUUUCCUUUAAUCUUUCACCUUUCCUUUUAUAUAAGUAAAUAAUCACAUUUGCAUUCAUCCCUUUAUCUGAGAACUUCAAUGGAAAUGAAGGCUCUAUGUCUAGAAGCACAUGACACCUUUUUCGUAUUUCGUGAUAAAGUAGGAUGCACAUGCGCACAUAUUCAUUGCUUAAGCUGCUCAUGAUGAAAAUAUUGCUCUUUGUCUAGUGAAUUUUGCUAUGCAGAUAGCAUCUUCAUGUAGUCAUUUGCUAUUUUAUUUUCAGUUGAAUUUAAAUGGCAACAAUGUAAGUUUCGGUGUUCGAGUUGGGACUGUUCUGUGCGCAUAUUUGGGUUUCUGUUUUUUUUUUUAAAUUUUACUUUCUAACAUAAUUGAACCUGGGUACCAGUUUUAAUUUUCUUUUUGACUAUUGAGAAACAGAUAAGGAUAUCCUCACACGUUCAUAUUCUCUUUAUGCUGUUGCAAUCUGGAUCUAAAAAUCAUUGUGUAAUGAUGCAUAUGGUUAUGUUAAUCUGGAUAAAAUGUUUGUUGUGUAACGAUACAUAUGUUUAAAAAUCUGAACCUACCAAGGUAUGAUCUUCCAUGCUAAGCAACAAAAUUUUCUUUUCCGUUCCAUAUGGUCUACUUUUAUGUCUUGCAUAUACUUUUAUCUAAGUUUCGACAUGGUAGAUCUUGUUUCUAACUGUUUUUUUGUUGCACCCUGUGGUUCUUUAUUUGAGAACCUAAUUAAGAGGAUAUUAUUGUACUCCUCCGUUUUCAAAUCUUUGAUGUAUAUGACAAGCUACUUGCUAAAGAAUGUAUGCUCCAUAUUUCAGCAUAAGUACACUAUCUGAUACUGUAGCUCUCCAUUUGUUGGCCCUAGUAAAUAUUGAUAAUCAAUCUUCAAUCUUGACAAAAAUGCACUAUGAUUUUUUGUAUUGCUCACCUUGUGUCCGUUGCCCCAUUUUUCAGCUGUUUUGCGUGAUAGGGUGUUGCCUUGUGAUGUACACAUUGUUUGCUAAGCAUCAUCGCUUGUUUCUUGAUGCUACUCCUGUUAUUUUGCUACUAUGUAAUUUGUUUUGCUUUUGGGGCUUAGGUCAUGCUAUGUUUUUCCAGGAUCUUGGUCCUUAGGCUCCAUGGUGACAUGCACUAUUCUUUUUAUUGUGAAUUUAGACAAAUCUGAUCUGUUGGUUUGUCGGUGUAGCAGCCCUAGCCACUACUAAUGAAGUAUUUCAUCUUUGCAGUUGUUGUACCUUGCCUUUGUCACCCCUAUUGUGCAUGACUUCUACAAUUACGACAUGGAGAAGGCAGAAUUUGCCCAGAUCUUUGGGAAGUUCACCCAGGUAAUUGUUGUUUGCAAUUCUGCUAAGCAAUGCAUAGUCUGUCAAAGUAUAUGAAUAUCACAUGAUACCUUGUGAUUGCAGGAUUUGGCACUCAUUGGAGCACUUCUCUUCUUCCUGGGCAUGAAGAACUCCAUCCCAAAGCGGCAGGCCAAGAAGAAGGCUCCCAAGGCGAAGACGAACUAAGGCAAUCUAGAUAGUUGCAGCCGUAGGGGCCUCAGGCAGUGUCAGGAGACGGUCUAUUUUGAAGCAAGCUGCGAUGUGAGCCAAUGCCGUCGUGCGGCGCUUUCAUAUGUAUCAGAUUCCAUUUUGCAGGGCACGGCCCGAACGAAGGUGUGAGUGGUGGAUUAGGCGACUAAAUUGUACCAUUAUGUACUUGCGAUUGGUUUGUUGGACUAGGUUGCCAAUGAUUAAUCUUCUCCAUUUGGUUUAUCUUGCACUGGGCCUUGUUAGCAGUGCAGGAAAUAGCUACAGAUAAUGGCUGGGAAUUCUUUCUUACAUCGUCUCUUGUCAUUUUGUGAAUUGUGAGUCGAGUUAGUACACCAGUGUGGCGCCGUGAUUCACACUAAUCCCGACUAAUGCCCGCCAAGUAUGUAGCAUAAGAGACCAGAACUGACAGAUCAAAUUUUAACGCAGGUAUGCCAGGGUUCUUCGCUGUUGUCUAGCAGCUUUUAGGUUGUGUUUCAUUGCAUAUCGGGCUGUGCCUAAAAUGUGUUUGGGGGCUUUUGGGCCUAAGGAUCACAGGGACCGGGAGGGGCCUCUAAUGUCUAAUGUUCUUUCGCUAACCAACUGUUUUUUCCCUGCAACAAAUCCGGCAUGUUUCAAUGGUACAUGUUAUUGAGUCAUCGAGUCAGCAGCUCCGCUGCUUCGCUCACUAGAGUCUGCUAUGAAGUCUGAAGUAGAGUCAGGUGACCACGGUUAUUGUACCCACAGAGACUCAAGACUCAGGAGUUACAACACUUACCAACGCGGUUUUCACUGUGUUGCAGAAUCUGUUGUGCCUGGCUAACCUCAAGUCUCCGGCAUUAUCAGGCAAUUCGGGAGCGUCAAGUCCGAAUCACCCACAGCAAACGCUUCGGCUCCGGUAGCCAACAAGGGCAAGCUCGUCAAACUCUACACGAGUAGGAUCCUGCCACAAUUAUUCCCCGCCGUUGCUAGGCACAUUUCUUCCAAGCUGCUCCAACCGGCUACCGGCGCCAACACGCUUUCCCCUUCAAUUCUACUAACAUUUUGGAUGAAUCUGUCGGCAUCCGGCGAUGCCAUCCUCCACCCACCACACGCAUGUGGUAAGAACUAAGAACUGCAUCGCCGAGUGUUUCACGGCAAAACGCAACCUGACUCGAGCAUGCUCACGAUCAAGGUAGGCAUCGGCGAGUCCGGCCGGAUUCGAGACGGCCGGUCAAGUCCCAAAACCCUUGGUCCUCUAAUACGGCCAAUUCCCACAGCGGCCAACCUACCUCAACGCCUUGAUUCAAUUCAAGAAGGGUUGCUUAAAAACCCCCCCAAAAGGCUCCCCUGUUUGCCACGGCCUGAUGGCACCAAACUGGAGUCCCUGUCACGAACCCUCGCCUCCAUUGGACGUGCGACGCAGCAUGAGGUGACUCGAUCGCUUGUCCUCUUGCACCCCAAAAAAAAAACA
This 5172-nucleotide long non-coding RNA is filed under the name Setaria viridis. Its description in RNAcentral is "long non-coding RNA (SVIR_LNC011443)". The record is from RNAcentral. Lineage: Eukaryota; Viridiplantae; Streptophyta; Magnoliopsida; Poales; Poaceae.